RNAcentral lists this ribosomal RNA (480 nucleotides) under uncultured bacterium. Its description in RNAcentral is "SSU rRNA". It matches the Rfam family "Bacterial small subunit ribosomal RNA", at positions 26 to 518 of the family's 1533-position model. The record is from RNAcentral.
AGAGUGAACGCUGGCGGCAGGCCUAACACAUGCAAGUCGAGCGGCAGCGCAGCAGUAGCAAUACUGUGGGCGGCGAGCGGCGGACGGGUGAGGAACACAUCGGAAUCUACCCUGUCGUGGGGGACAACGUAGGGAAACUUACGCUAAUACCGCAUACGACCUUUGGGUGAAAGUGGGGGACUCGCAAGAGCCUCACGCGAUUGGAUGAGCCGAUGUCCGAUUAGCUAGUUGGCGGGGUAAUGGCCCACCAAGGCGACGAUCGGUAGCUGGUCUGAGAGGACGACCAGCCACACUGGAACUGAGACACGGUCCAGACUCCUACGGGAGGCAGCAGUGGGGAAUAUUGGACAAUGGGGGCAACCCUGAUCCAGCCAUGCCGCGUGGGUGAAGAAGGCCUUCGGGUUGUAAAGCUCUGUCGGAGGGGAAGAACACAAUGACGGUACCUCCAAGAAGCCCGGCUAACUACGUGCCAGCAGCCGC